RNAcentral lists this long non-coding RNA (249 nucleotides) under Capsicum annuum. RNAcentral's name for it is "long non-coding RNA (CANN_LNC006895)". The record is from RNAcentral. Lineage: Eukaryota; Viridiplantae; Streptophyta; Magnoliopsida; Solanales; Solanaceae.
CCAACAAGUAAAGGUUGAACAUUUGCAAAUCGAAGGGUUGUAUCAAGCAAUUGAGUUUCCUAGGUAGAAGUGGGAAGUGAUUUAUAUGGAUUUUGGUAUGUGUCUUUCUCGGUUUCGGAAUUAGUUUGUUUUGAUUUGGAUAAUCGUGGAUAGGAUGACUGUGUCUUCUCACUUCUUACUAGCGUGAACUUAUUUUCCGAUCCUGUAUCCAUCAUGUCUAAUUGUGGUGUUCAAUUCUCAUAGCAGUUU